UUGGAGGGCAAGUCUGGUGCCAGCAGCCGCGGUAAUUCCAGCUCCAAUAGCGUAUAUUAAAGUUGUUGCAGUUAAAAAGCUCGUAGUUGAAUUUCGGGGUUCUUCCGUUGGUCAGGCUAACAAGUCUGUACUAGCGUGUAGAAUCUCUACCUUCUGGGGAACCAUCAUGCUAUUAAUUUAGCGUGGUGGGAAACCAGGACCUUUACCUUGAAAAAAUUAGAGUGUUCAAAGCAGGCUUACGUCUGAAUACAUUAGCAUGGAAUAAUAAAAUAGGACGGUGGUCCUGUUUUGUUGGUUUCUGAAUCACCGUAAUGAUUAAUAGGGAUAGUUGGGGGCAUUAGUAUUCAAUUGUCAGAGGUGAAAUUCUUGGAUUUAUUGAAGACUAACUUCUGCGAAAGCAUUUGCCAAGGAUGUUUUCAUUAAUCAAGAACGAAAGUUAGGGGAUCGAAGACGAUCAGAUACCGUCGUAGUCUUAACCAUAAACUAUGCCGACUAGGGAUCGGACGAUGUUAAAUUUUAUUGACUCGUUCGGCGCCUUACGGGAAAC
RNAcentral lists this ribosomal RNA (547 nucleotides) under uncultured Glomeromycotina. Its description in RNAcentral is "SSU rRNA". It matches the Rfam family "Eukaryotic small subunit ribosomal RNA", at positions 548 to 1098 of the family's 1831-position model. The record is from RNAcentral. Lineage: Eukaryota; Fungi; Glomeromycota.